RNAcentral lists this unclassified non-coding RNA (692 nucleotides) under Hevea brasiliensis (rubber tree). The record is from RNAcentral. Lineage: Eukaryota; Viridiplantae; Streptophyta; Magnoliopsida; Malpighiales; Euphorbiaceae.
AAAAUAUUUUGGCUGGAUUAGCUAUUUGGUUUUCAAACUAACUGGCUCAAAAGUUUUCAAAGUAUAAUAGAUGCUUUCAUUAUAGGCAUUUAGAAAAAGAAAAUGAAAAACAUAAAACAAUCCUGAAAAAGAAGCAAAAGGCAUCAACUUCAACAAUCUAAGCUUCUAGAACUUGAUUGCUUCAAUUUUUGGAAAAUAACUCAAAAUACUAAAUUGUCCUUUUUAAAGCAAAAUCCGGAAGCAAGAAAACUGUCAACACCUGGGCUGUUAGAUACUUUGAAUGGCACUCCUCACUGCUAGCAGACCACAAUAGCUACAACCUACAUCAAUUCAAAUUGUAACUAAUAUUUAGAAGGACAAAAGAGCAAUUUCUGUGAACAUUUGAAAAAUGUAGAGGCAAUUUUAAAAACCAAAGGGAAUAGAAUAUCCAAGAAGGGAAAAAUGAGCACAAAAUAAGGAGCAUUUAGAAGAAACAAGUGGCACAAAUAAAAGAAAGGAUUUUUGAAAUUUCCAAGAACCUUAUCUGGUUAUGUUCUAUAUCUAAGAGAAUCUUAAACUGUUCAUUUCCGUUGCAUAUGAUGCCUCUAAUCCUGCCCCUAACUUAUUUGUUUUGCAUAUAUUUGUUUGUAUUUUAUCUCAUAUAGAUGGUUAAUUUUUAAAUUUUCUUAAUAUAUAAUUUUUUUUUCCUAAAU